Molecule: long non-coding RNA, 454 nt
Organism: Triplophysa dalaica
Lineage: Eukaryota; Metazoa; Chordata; Actinopteri; Cypriniformes; Nemacheilidae
Exons: 3
Source: RefSeq, a predicted model, not a curated record
GCGUUUUCAAACAGCGGGACUAACGGACGGACGACUUCAGAGCUACUUCGACUUCCAGUGGCAAUUUUACAAAAUAUAUCCCUCAUGGAGUCUGACCGGGACUGGUAUCUCCCGACAUUAUCUGAAGCUUAGGUCCACUAAGAUGUCCCGUUGAUUGAAGCUGACAUGGAGUCACAGUGACAUCCUUAAAAACUUUUGUCAUGUAUAAUACAUCUCUGCAUCUUAAAAUAUUUCUCUGCAUCUUUAAAUAUUUUUUUUUAUUAUUUUUUGUCUAUGUUUUAGAUUUAAGUGUUUAAGCUGUUUUCAUGAAAAAAUAUUGCCAUGUCUACCUUUUUUUAUGAAUGUUCUAAAUAUUUUGAAUAAUUUCAAUCCAUUUAAAAAUCUUAAAGUUCUUGAUUUUGUUUUGUUUUGAUUGUUUUUCAUGUUUUAUAUUGAUGUGAACUGGAAAUACUGU